Non-coding RNA from Meleagris gallopavo (turkey), 652 nucleotides. The record is from RefSeq and is a predicted model, not a curated record. NCBI's taxonomy places the organism in Eukaryota, Metazoa, Chordata, Aves, Galliformes, Phasianidae.
UUGUUUGUCAGAAGCAAGCAGCCAGGGAAUGGGUGAACUUUUACCUGGACCUCACAAGAGGAGAAAGCUCUCUUUUCAAAAUCUGAUAACUCUGCAGAAGAAAACAGAGAUAUUUUCUUUCUUUAUAGGUUGACCUAUGGACUCUGCCAAAAAAAAUUUUCCAUGUGAACUUGAGUUUGCAAGGCCCUUUUUUCUUUCCCAAAAACUCUGUGUUCUGAAAAAGGACAUCUGUGACAAGAUGGAACUUGGCACCAGUAACUCAUGUACUAUGGGUGAAGCACGCUCAGAAGAGGCAGACCCAGAGGAGUCUUGCAUCUUGUAAAUGGCUCUGGGUGAAUCCGAAGAACUGCAUGUGAUUUGUCAGGCGUUUUUAAGAUAAAUGGUAAAACUGAACUGGAAAUCCAUCUGGCCAGCUGCCUGAUCUAAUGAAUAACCCCACUUUGGCUCCUGCAAUGUAAGCAGAAAGAGUUCUCUCCCGGCCGCUUUCGUCUGUCAUGAAUCUACAAGACAGCCGACAUAAUAUCUGGGCGACAACAGCGUGCUAACAGUGCAGUGACUUCCAUUUUCUUUGCUUUCUAUUGAUUUUCACUUAAUAACUGGCGAAAUACUAAACGUCCGCCCUGAGUACCUAAUAAAUCCUGCCUGAGCUUUU